AAAGAAAAAAGAAAAAAAAAGAAGUGUACCUUUGCAUUUAGAUAUUUAUCUAUUAUCUUUGGUAGCUCUUAUUCUGCAAAUAUAUUUUCUUAUAUGGGUAUCAUCCUGUUAUACUGAUGGUUGAUUAUUCUUCUCCUUAGCUUUACCUUGCCUUUUUCAUGGAAAUAAAGUCUAUGGAAUAGGUUACCCUUUAAAAAUGAAUGAGAAUUUACUAAAGCAUAUUUAAAAGUCUAAUUCUAACAUGAGGCUAGAAAAAAUAAAUCCCAAAACUCUACCUAUCUUUUACUGAAAGCCACUGUUCCUUGAGAUUACAUGUGCCUCUAGUGUUUCACCUUUCUUCUAGGUUUGGUUGUAUGUGUG
Molecule: unclassified non-coding RNA, 360 nt
Filed under: Hevea brasiliensis (rubber tree)
Lineage: Eukaryota; Viridiplantae; Streptophyta; Magnoliopsida; Malpighiales; Euphorbiaceae
Source: RNAcentral